This 764-nucleotide ribosomal RNA is filed under the name Nematoda environmental sample. RNAcentral describes it as "SSU rRNA". It matches the Rfam family "Eukaryotic small subunit ribosomal RNA", at positions 145 to 910 of the family's 1831-position model. The record is from RNAcentral. Lineage: Eukaryota; Metazoa; Nematoda.
UACUGUGGCAAUUCUAGAGCUAAUACAUGCAAUAAAGCUCCGCCCGCAAGGAACGAGCGCAUUUAUUAGAAUAAAAACCAAUCGAGUUUCGGCUCGUAAUUUGGUGAAUCUGAAUAACUUUGCCAAUCGCACAGUCCUAGUACUGGCGAUGUAUCUUUCAAGUGUCUGCCUUAUCAACUUUCGAUGGUACGCUAUACGCCUACCAUGGUAGUAACGGGUAACGGAGAAUAAGGGUUCGACUCCGGAGAGGGAGCCUGAGAAACGGCUACCACAUCCAAGGAAGGCAGCAGGCGCGCAAAUUACCCACUUCCAGAACGGAGAGGUAGUGACGAAAAAUAACGAGACAGUCCUCUUCGAGGUCUGCCAUCGGAAUGGGUACAAUUUAAAUCCUUUAACGAGGAUCUAUUGGAGGGCAAGUCUGGUGCCAGCAGCCGCGGUAAUUCCAGCUCCAAUAGCGUAUAUUAAAGUUGUUGCGGUUAAAACGCUCGUAGUUGGAUCUGCGACCUCGAAGAACGGUCCCCCGAAAGGGUGGUCACUGUCUCUUCUAGUCUAAAUUCAAGUUGUCUUUAGGUGCUCUUUAUUGAGUGCUUAGAGCGACUAGAACGUUUACUUUGAAAAAAUUAGAGUGCUUAAAGCAGACGAAAUAGUCUGAAUAAGGUGCAUGGAAUAAUGGAAUAGGAUCUCGGUUCUAUUUUGUUGGUUUUCGGAGCCCGAGAUAAUGAUUUAGAAGAACAGACGGGGGCAUUCGUAUUUCGGCGCUAGAG